GAUGAACGCUGGCGGCGUGCCUAAUACAUGCAAGUCGAGCGAACAGACGAGGAGCUUGCUCCUCUGACGUUAGCGGCGGACGUGUGAGUAACACGUGUAUAACCUACCUAUAAGACUGGUAUAACUUCGGGAAACCGGAGCUAAUACCGGAGAAUAUAUUGAACCGCAUGGUGCAAUAGUGAAAGACGGUUUUGCUGUCACGUAUAGAUGGAUCCGCGCCGCAUUAGCUAGUUGGUAAGUUAACGGCUUACCAAGGCAACGAUGCGUAGCCGACCUGAGAGGGUGAUCGGCGACACUGGAACUGAGACACGGUCCAGACUCCUACGGGAGGCAGCAGUAGGGAAUCUUCCGCAAUGGGCGAAAGCAUGACGGAGCAACGCCGCGUGAGUGAUGAAGGUCUUCGGAUCGUAAAACUCUGUUAUUAGGGAAGAACAAAUGUGUAAGUAACUAUGCACGGCUUGACGGUACCUAAUCAGAAAGCCACGGCUAACUACGUG
RNAcentral lists this ribosomal RNA (497 nucleotides) under uncultured bacterium. Its description in RNAcentral is "partial 16S ribosomal RNA". It matches the Rfam family "Bacterial small subunit ribosomal RNA", at positions 28 to 507 of the family's 1533-position model. The record is from RNAcentral.